RNAcentral lists this ribosomal RNA (842 nucleotides) under uncultured archaeon. RNAcentral describes it as "bacterial SSU rRNA". It matches the Rfam family "Archaeal small subunit ribosomal RNA", at positions 28 to 848 of the family's 1478-position model. The record is from RNAcentral.
GGUUGUCUUAGUCGACUAGACAUGCGAGUCGACGACCCCUAGCCAUGAAGGGGGCGUGGCAUACGGCUCAGUAACACGUGGCUAACCUACCCUCGAGACAGGGACAACCCCGGGAAACUGGGGCUAAUCCCAGAUAGAUGAGAACUCCUGGAAUGGGUUCUCGUCCAAAAGGCACCAAGAUCAUGCUUCUUGGCGUCGCUCAAGGAUGGGGCCGCGACCGAUCAGGCUGUUGGUGAGGCAACGGCUCACCAAACCUUUAACCGGUACGGGCCGUGGGAGCGGGUGCCCGGAGAUGGGAACUGAGACAAGGUCCCAGGCCCUACGGGGCGCAGCAGUUACGAAAACUUGUCAAUGCACGAAAGUGUGAACGGGCUACCCCGAGUGCCGUCCGCUGAGGAUGGCUUUUCUCUGCUGUAAGGAAGCGGAGGAAUAAGGCGAGGGCAAGUCUGGUGUCAGCCGCCGCGGUAAUACCAGCUCGCCGAGUGGUAGGGAUGAUUAUUGGGCUUAAAGCGUCCGUAGCCGGCCUCUCAAGUCUCUCGUUAAAUCCAGCGAUUCAAUCGUUGGACUGCGGGAGAUACUGUGAGGCUAGGGGGCGGGAGAAGCCGACGGUAUUUCCGGGGUAGGGGUAAAAUCCUAUAAUCCCGGGAAGACCACCAGUGGCGAAGGCGGUCGGCUAGCACGCGCUCGACGGUGAGGGACGAAAGCUGGGGGAGCGAACCGGAUUAGAUACCCGGGUAGUCCCAGCUGUAAACGAUGCGGGCUAGGUGUUGGAGCGGCUACGAGCCGCUUCAGUGCCGCAGGGAAGCCAUUAAGCCCGCCGCCUGGGGAGUACGGCCGCAAGG